GAUAUGCAAAAUAUGAUUAUGUGAAAGACUUCCACAGAGAUUGGUUCAAACACUGCCUUCAUUUUUUUUAGUCAAAGUGGAUAUUCUUUUACUUAACUUGCAUGCUAAUUGUUAUGGUGAACAGUAUAAAGAAUUGCUACAAGUUUAUCUGUUUAACUUAGUACUAUAAUUUUAUUUUUUGAAAACAAGAUUAGUAAACCAAUGUCUUUGAAAAGUCUCCAUAACAGUCAGUUGUCAAAAUACAGGUUUCAGGUUAGCAUAGAAAAUCAGAACAUUUAGAAGUAUUUUUUAUAGUUUUGAAUUUAGCACAGUCUUCUGAUUGGCUGAUUUUUUUGUUUUCAGGUGAUAAACAUAAUUUUGUCAUGUGACUGUGACAUUAACAAUUUUUUCAUGAAUGAUUCACUCAUUAAAAAUGAAAUCUUUUCAUUUGUCAUUUUUUAACAAGAGAACAAGAAUUUUAUUGCUUAUAUUUGAUGGCUAAUAAUUUUAAAAUCUAAUAUAGGAUAGAAAAAGGAAAAAUUGACAAGAAAUCUCAAAAUAAUUCUGAAGCUGAUUUUAAUUUAAAUUUGAAGUGAAAAUUUGUGUAGAAUGAGGGGGUGGAUAUACAACUAAUAUUUUUCAUAAUUUUGUAUACAUUAGGUAAAUGUGUAAAGAUAUAGAAGUUUGGUAUUCACUUUAUUGUUGAAGUGGUUGUGUAGUAAAUUGUUCUAUGAAAUAUUAGUACAAAGUAAAGAAUGAAAGUAAAA
This 746-nucleotide long non-coding RNA is filed under the name Mytilus galloprovincialis (Mediterranean mussel). The record is from RNAcentral. Lineage: Eukaryota; Metazoa; Mollusca; Bivalvia; Mytilida; Mytilidae.